Molecule: ribosomal RNA, 164 nt
Filed under: uncultured bacterium
Lineage: Bacteria
Description: partial 16S rRNA
Rfam family: Bacterial small subunit ribosomal RNA
Source: RNAcentral
UAGGGAAUCUUCCACAAUGGACGAAAGUCCGGUGGAGCAACGCCGCGUGAGUGAAGAAGGGUUUCGGCUCGUAAAACUCUGUUGUUAAAGAAGAACAUAUCUGAGAGUAACUGUUCAGGUAUUGACGGUAUUUAACCAGAAAGCCACGGCUAACUACGUGCCAG